This 679-nucleotide ribosomal RNA is filed under the name Lacticaseibacillus paracasei. RNAcentral describes it as "bacterial SSU rRNA". It matches the Rfam family "Bacterial small subunit ribosomal RNA", at positions 763 to 1440 of the family's 1533-position model. Lineage: Bacteria; Bacillati; Bacillota; Bacilli; Lactobacillales; Lactobacillaceae. The record is from RNAcentral.
GAUGAGCGAGCGAGAUGUAGAUGCCGUGGUAGUCCGUGCCGUAAGAGAUGAAGGGGUAGGUGUUGAAGGGUUUCCGCCCGUCAGUGCCGCAGCUAACGCAGUAAGCAUUCCGCCUGGGGAGUACGACCGCAAGGUUGAAACUCAAAGGAAUUGACGGGGGCCCGCACAAGCGGUGGAGCAUGUGGUUUAAUUCGAAGCAACGCGAAGAACCUUACCAGGUCUUGACAUCUUUUGAUCACCUGAGAGAUCAGGUUUCCCCUUCGGGGGCAAAAUGACAGGUGGUGCAUGGUUGUCGUCAGCUCGUGUCGUGAGAUGUUGGGUUAAGUCCCGCAACGAGCGCAACCCUUAUGACUAGUUGCCAGCAUUUAGUUGGGCACUCUAGUAAGACUGCCGGUGACAAACCGGAGGAAGGUGGGGAUGACGUCAAAUCAUCAUGCCCCUUAUGACCUGGGCUACACACGUGCUACAAUGGAUGGUACAACGAGUUGCGAGACCGCGAGGUCAAGCUAAUCUCUUAAAGCCAUUCUCAGUUCGGACUGUAGGCUGCAACUCGCCUACACGAAGUCGGAAUCGCUAGUAAUCGCGGAUCAGCACGCCGCGGUGAAUACGUUCCCGGGCCUUGUACACACCGCCCGUCACACCAUGAGAGUUUGUAACACCCGAAGCCGGUGGCGUAACC